UGGGGAAUAUUGGGCAAUGGAGGCAACUCUGACCCAGCAACGCCGCGUGAGCGAUGAAGGUCUUCGGAUUGUAAAGCUCUUUAAGUGGGGACGAAGAAAGUGACUGUACCCACAGAAUAAGCCUCGGCUAACUACGUGCCAGCAGCCGCGGUAAUACGUAGGAGGCAAGCGUUAUCCGGAAUGACUGGGCGUAAAGGGUGCGUAGGUGGUUUGACAAGUUGGUAGCGUAACUCCGGGGCUCAACCUCGGAUCUACUACCAAAACUGUUGGGCUUGAGUGCAGGAGGGGUGAAUGGAAUUCCUA
Molecule: ribosomal RNA, 303 nt
Filed under: uncultured bacterium
Lineage: Bacteria
Description: bacterial SSU rRNA
Rfam family: Bacterial small subunit ribosomal RNA
Source: RNAcentral